GAAAGAGACAACACAAGUAGAGAAGUUUCUUUCUGUCCUUCUUCUAUAACUCGAAGGAUCCCAUAAAAAAUAUGUAAUAGAGUCCGAUCACAACAAUCGAAUUGAUUAUCUUCAUGCAUAAUUUUUUUAUCCUUUUUGCACUGAUAGUUGUUUGUCAAGCAUCAACCUGUAUGUUUGGUUGAGUGAUUGUGGUUAGCCAUCAACAAUUAAAUUUGUUUGGAUUUCCUCUCCCAAAACCUUUUUUUGUGUUUUCUUGGCAAUCAAACAGAGCUCUACAAUAUGUUUGUUUGUUUUCAAUUUUGAACUUUC
This 309-nucleotide unclassified non-coding RNA is filed under the name Hevea brasiliensis (rubber tree). Lineage: Eukaryota; Viridiplantae; Streptophyta; Magnoliopsida; Malpighiales; Euphorbiaceae. The record is from RNAcentral.